UCUUGUGGCCUUUCUCUCUGCUCUAAUCUUGCUCAGAAACAUUGAUUUACCAUUGUAUUUAGUUUAUCUGCUACUAGAAACAACAGAAGGGUAUUUCUGCAAGUUGCUGGGGUAUCUGUUUUACCAAUCAUAUCCUGAAAGAAGGUACUUUUUAUUAAAUAUCAUCAAUCUGGAGAUAUCUGAACAUACGGUUGUCUGGAGUUGGACAACGUCCUUUCAAAUCCCAUUUGAGGGUUUCUUCUCAGGAACGUAGGUGAAUUCUGACAAUUCCAGCUCUCCAUGUGCCAAAAUGGGCAGCAAGCUGUGACUGCAGGCUAUCUACGCUGCCAAGGAGCUUUAAUUCAGGAUCCUUCGGGUUUUUAAAGCAGUCACUGGAACAACCAGAAAGAAGGGUGGAAGAUGAAGCAAGAAAUGGUUUUGCUGGAGGCAGCAUGGCAACUUGCUGGGAGUUUGGAGCGUCUAUCAGUGUUCAUCCCACUCUGGUUUUGGGUGGGGUGGUGCUGGCCAACUCUCAGUGAAGCCCUGCAGACACACCUGGAGCCAGGUCAGCAGGUGGUACCAACAGCACGGCUCUAACACUGCUGAGAGGCUUCCCUGAAGUUUUGGCUGCUGAACAGCUCCGUUCCCUUGCUCUUACUGUGGGAUUGGGAAGCAAGUCAUAACAAAUACAAGUGUUUGAACAGCUACUUGUUUUCAAAAGCUAACAUGAUUAUGAUGACUUGAACUUGUCUUGUUGGCUAGCGGAUCCCAGGGCAAUCCUGGUAGAAAGGAAGGUUUUUCCCCUCCGAGGCUUCUAGAAGCACUGGGUGUGCAGUGCCUGCCAGGAGAGCUGCCACUGCUGCUCUGCUACAGGGCUUGGCAGGGAACUUGCUGUGCUGUGUCAGGUUUGGGUCCGAGGAGUGAGAGCCUGGGCCUUUCCUUGAACUGUGACCUGUGCUGGUGAGGGGCAUCCUCACAGAAGGGCUUUUUUAUUCGUUGUAUCAGAAGGUUUUGGACGACAGUGUGCCAGUUUUGACUAAUGUGUGGUCAGGGAAAUGCCUGGGAUGAGGCCUGGACAAAGUCUCUCUGCAGGGUGGGUUGGACUGUCUUGGUGGGAUGGCCGUGCCCAGCCCCCCGAUGCUGCGGCUGCCAGAGCUGCCUCCCUCUGGUCCUGCUCUCAAAGCUGUUCCUCCCUCGAUAAGCAGUAAAAAUUUCACACAGAAGGAAACAUGCCCGUAUCACACCUCAGGGCUUACCAUGACUGCUGGAAUGUCUCAGUCACAUGAACCCUCAUUGCACUGCGCUGACUCCUACCAGUACUUUUUUUACAGGCGUGCGUAGAGUUUUUUCUUUCCUUCCUUCCAAAAAAAUAAAAAUAAAAAUUCCCAAGGUCUCAGCUAUACUCUGAUGCUGCAUGAGAACAUUUCUGAACUCUUAAUAUUGUUUACUGAACAGGAAAACCAUUUCUUACUCGGUUCCAACUCCGCCCGGAGCGCUGCGGAGGCAUUGCCCGUGCUCCUGGAACGGCUUCACCUUGGGGAAAGCACACCCGUGAAACCUCCUUUGUCUUCUUUUUUCUUCGUUUCUCCUUUUUUUUUUCUCCCCCUUUUUAAUCUUCAGCCUUGUCAUCCUGUUUUGCAAGCUGCAAGCAUGGUGUUUCCUUUCAUAUUAAAGGAGACUGUACACUGAAAGAUAUAAAAGCGUAAACAAAAAGUUCAUGUUUGUUGGCACGGUUUUUAAAUGCAGACAUCUGGGUUAGAGAUGUGAGAAAAUUGUAAAGAAUUUGGGAAGGUUCAAAGGCUCAUGUUAUUAAAGUUUUAAUAAUCUGCUUUUCUGC
This is a long non-coding RNA of Gallus gallus (chicken), 1816 nucleotides long. Lineage: Eukaryota; Metazoa; Chordata; Aves; Galliformes; Phasianidae. The record is from Ensembl.